UACGAAGGGUGCAAGCGUUACUCGGAAUUACUGGGCGUAAAGCGUGCGUAGGUGGUUGUUUAAGUCUGUCGUGAAAGCCCUGGGCUCAACCUGGGAAUGGCGAUGGAAACUGGGCGACUAGAGUGUGGCAGAGGGUAGUGGAAUUCCUGGUGUAGCAGUGAAAUGCGUAGAGAUCAGGAGGAACAUCCGUGGCGAAGGCGACUGCCUGGGCCAACACUGACACUGAGGCACGAAAGCGUGGGGAGCAAACAGGAUUAGAUACCCUGGUAGUCCACGCCCUAAACGAUGCGAACUGGAUGUUGGGUGCAAUUUGGCACGCAGUAUCGAAGCUAACGCGUUAAGUUCGCCGCCUGGGGAGUACGGUCGCAAGACUGAAACUCAAAUGAAUUGGCGGGG
Molecule: ribosomal RNA, 396 nt
Filed under: uncultured bacterium
Lineage: Bacteria
Description: partial 16S ribosomal RNA
Rfam family: Bacterial small subunit ribosomal RNA
Source: RNAcentral